AUGACACAGCACUUUUGGGCACAAGGCAGGGCCCAGAGGGGUGCGUGGGGGCCGCAGCCCAGCCCCCAAGCCCCGCCAGCGGCCGACAAGGGAGGUGCCAUGUGGACUGUUUCACAGCUGGAGAAACUGAGGCACAGAGGGGCUGAGUCACCUGCCUAACGCACUGAGCAGUCUGGCUCCAGGACCUGUGCUCUGAACCAGCACCUGGCACAUAGCUGGCACCGACAUGGUCUCCGUGCACUGCCAUGGAUGAGAGCAAUGCUGGCUGCGGUGUCGGGCGGAGCUGGGUUCCAAUGCUGACUUCACCUUUCUCAGGCUGCACAGCCUGGAGCACGUGGCUGCACCCUACCGUGCGUCAGUUUCCUCACCUGUGAAGGGUGAUCGUGGUGGUCCUGAUCUUGCAGAACUGCAGUGAGGGCUGUGAGUGUGGGGUGUCUCAACUGCACCUGGACACGCAGAAGGCACUCUGUGAACACUGACUUUCAUUGGCCCAGGCCUCUGAAUCCAUGACAGUUCAAUCUCUGAACCCCACAGCUUCCUCCUUCACCCUUUGCCGCCCCAGGGCAAGCUUUACUGGGGUGUAACAAACACACGAUAAACUGCGCAUAUUCCAGUGUUCAUGUGGAUGAGUUUGGACAUAUGCACACACUUCCGAAACCACCAGCACAAUCAAGACAGCAGACAUAUCCAUCGCCCCCAAGGGUGUCCUUGUGUCUUUUUGUCAUUCAUCCCUCCCGGCCGCCCCAUCCACACUCCCAUCGCCUGCCGACUGUGGCUGAUCUGCUUUCUGCGGCUGUGGAUUAGUUUGCGUUCUCUACAAUUUUCUGUAAGUGGAAUCAUGUGGUGUAUUCUUUACUGGGCUUCUUUUCCUCAACAUUAUGAUUU
Homo sapiens (human) is the source of this 885-nucleotide long non-coding RNA. Ensembl annotates it as long intergenic non-protein coding RNA 1270. The record is from Ensembl. Lineage: Eukaryota; Metazoa; Chordata; Mammalia; Primates; Hominidae.